This 101-nucleotide non-coding RNA is filed under the name Tiarina fusus. The record is from RNAcentral. Lineage: Eukaryota; Ciliophora; Prostomatea; Prorodontida; Colepidae.
UAUCGAAGCAAACACGUUGAAACGAAACAAAGCCUACAAAUUAAAAACUCAAACUCUAACGUCACCUAAUUUUAUGCAACAAAUGAAUUCUCAAAAUUUUC